Molecule: ribosomal RNA, 274 nt
Filed under: uncultured bacterium
Lineage: Bacteria
Description: partial 16S ribosomal RNA
Rfam family: Bacterial small subunit ribosomal RNA
Source: RNAcentral
AUACGGAGGGAGCGAGCGUUAAUCGGAAUCACUGGGCUUAAAGAGUACGUAGGCGGCCUGGUAAGUUGGGUGUGAAAUCCCACGGCUCAACCGUGGAACUGCGCUCAAUACUGCCAGGCUCGAGGGAGAUAGAGGUGAGCGGAACUGAUGGUGGAGCGGUGAAAUGCGUUGAUAUUGUGAGGAACGCCGGUGGCGAAAGCGGCUCACUGGAUCUCUUCUGACGCUGAGGCACGAAAGCUAGGGUAGCGAACAGGAUUAGAAACCCCGGUAGUCC